GCUUUGCAUGAGUCCUGGCCACCACUGCCAUCCCCUGAGAGGAGAUGCAACAGCACCUGCUGAGUGUGCAGCUGGCAGCUAAGGAGGUGGAGCAGCUGCUGUGCCUUGCUUUGUUCUGCCCAGACAGGAGCAGGCAGAGGGUAGGCUAUGUAUCAGAUGGACUUCCACAUCACCAUAGUUCUGGGAGGACUGAAAGACUGUGCUAGCACACCCCACCCUCUAUGCACAGGUGCAGAAUGAUGUGCUCUGGAUACAACUGGAGCCUGCAGGAGGUGCCUUGAAAGCUGACAGAGGUGACACGGGCAGGACUUCUAUAUUUUGACUUAAGCAUUUUAAAACUUAGAGGAAAUAAAAGUCUUCUCUGACACUGAUGGACCAAAACUUAAAUACUGAGUAAGACUUGCUUUCUGGACCCGAAGUACUGUUUUCUAGAUCCAGGCACUGGAAUGCCAGAAUGAAAUCAAAUUGAAAACAUUAGUGGUGGAUUUGUGAUGAUGACCUCAGUAUGACAGGAAUGCACUAUGCUGCUACGAAGAGAACUGAAUGAAACACCCUUCUGUGGAAGAGCCAUCAGCAACACAGCUAAAGCAAAUGGAAAUGCAUCACUGCCAUCACAUCUGUACAGUUCUGCACCUUGUGCCAUCGCUGGCUGAAAGAAAUGACAGCGUGGUGGAAACCUUUGUUCCAG
RNAcentral lists this long non-coding RNA (688 nucleotides) under Gallus gallus (chicken). Its description in RNAcentral is "long non-coding RNA NONGGAT012104". The record is from RNAcentral. Lineage: Eukaryota; Metazoa; Chordata; Aves; Galliformes; Phasianidae.